RNAcentral lists this long non-coding RNA (28353 nucleotides) under Podarcis lilfordi (Lilford's wall lizard). The record is from RNAcentral. Lineage: Eukaryota; Metazoa; Chordata; Lepidosauria; Squamata; Lacertidae.
AUGAUGUCUGGCCAUUGUUUCAUAAUGGCCCACAUUCAACCAGCCCAGCCAGGCUAAAUUUUUCAGAGACACCGCUGAUGGAGUCUUUUGAGGAGUUGGGGAUGGCGUUGAUAAGUGGUCCAUGUUUCACAAGCUUACAGGGAGGUUGGUAAUACAAUAGCUUUGUAAACAAGCAUUUUGGUUUCCCUGCGUCUUCAAACACUCUGCACUUCAAUCGGGAGAAAGCUGCGCUUGCAGAGCUCACCCUGUGUGGUGGGGGAACAUGAACAAUGCCUGCUUUGAUGGCUGAAUUUGAUGUGGGGGUUGGUGUAGGCAGAGGCAAUCUCUUAAGGUAGCAGGGGUCUAGGCCACAAAAAGGUUUAGAGCCCUUGAAUUGGGAAUUAUCAACCAGUGCACCUGAUAUUUUACGGGCUGAAUGUGGCUGCAACUCCCAGCAUCUGUGAGAGGUACUGUGGCAUUUUGAGUUAGCUGAAGAUUCUGAGCUUUGGCCAAAUCAAAUAAGUGUUGGAAAUGUAAAGAGAAAUAAUGUUCUUUAUAUCCUAUGUGGUGGUCUUGUAGUAAGGUUAAAGCUUACUAGGAAAUGAUAUCUAAUGAAUUGAAAAAGAUGUUUAAAAUAAUGUUUGUAAAAAAACAAACAAACCCAGAAGUUUUUCUUUUGGGAAUUAUAGGGACAGAACUACCAAACUGUAUAGAAAUUUAUUCAUUUAUGCAACUACAGAGGCAAGAAUGUUACUUGCCCAAAAGCAUCUUUGAUGCGUAGAUGCGUAGAUGCCUGGCCAUAGUUUCAUACUAUCUUUGUGCUGCACUUAUAUGGCACCGAUUGCAUUCCUAACAUUUACAGCCUAAAUUAUAAUGCCCUAAAUUGCUUUCAUUAUCCAAAGAAUUAAAUGGUGUUGCCAGUAUUUCAGAAUAUUAUGGGACUGAGCAUUUUGGGCCACUUCAUUCUGGGCAUGUUGGCACAUAAUCUGCAGCAGCCUUUUCUCUUUUAAGACGUUUUACAGAUCGCAACAGUAUCCUGCUGAGUCAUGGUGACACCAAAAUAAGAAAAAAAUAGUUUCUCUCUGGUCACUUCCAUGCUCUUUGUGUUAAAUCUGUGGUAUGUUUUGAAAAGUUUGAGCCUUAUUAUCCCUUUAUAUAAAUACACCCCUCCACUCAGGUCCACAAUCUGGAUAAAGGCCACGAGAACAAAACACACCACUCUUUGUCUAUCGUACAACAGAUUUCUUUUAGGCAAAGGUUAGUCUUCUGUGUGUAGGCACAUAAAUCUGCAUCUAUUGUAGAAUGUUAAAAGUUCCUGCUUAGUAUAAUAAGAUCUAAAAAAGAAAUGAGACCAGAUGGUGGAGGUGCAGGCAGAGAAACAAUAGAUAUUUAGCAAAAAAAAAAAAAAAGUAUUGGCUAUAAUAAGUUUUGUGGAAGGACAUUACAUUCUCUCUGACGCAAUACUUUUGCUGUUGUUCUGUCUCAAAACCUGGAUUGUCAACGUGAUGGCCAUGGGAGAACAUGUGCCCACAGAGGCCUCCCCUGGUGGCCCCUUUACUAAAAUUAGGCUUUAAAUAAUUGUUUUUCUAAUGCCAAUAGAAUGGGUUGUGGUCUGUGCUUGGUUGCAGUAUGUGUACAGUAUGGCAGAAGGUAAAGGUAAAGGACCUCUGGACGGUUAAGUCCAGUCAAAGGCAACUAUGGGGUUGCGGCGCUCAUCUCGCUUUUCCGGCCGAGGGAGCCGGCAUUUGUCCACAGAAAUAUUUCCAGGUCAUGUGGCCAGCAGGACUAAACCGCUUCUUGCACAACAGAACACCGCGAUGGAAACCAGAGCACAUGUAAAUGCUGUUUACCUUCCCACUGCAGCGGUACCUAUUUAUCUACUUGAACUGGUGUGCUUUCGAACUGCUAGGUUGGCAGGAGCUGGGGCAGAGCAAGGAGAGCUCAUACCAUUGUGGGGAUUCGAACUUCAGACCUUCCAGUCAGCAGGCCCAGGAAGCUCAGUGGUUUAGACCACAGCGCCACCCACCUCCCACAUGUGCAUGGUAUCCACAACAGGCUCUCUAGUUGCAAAUGGGUCAAUUGGCCAAAGAGAUGUAUUACCCCUAAAGGAUAGUGCAGCCCUGAUCCUUUAGCAUGCAUACACAAGGUCUCCAGAAAGAAGCUGAAAUCCCUCUGAUCAGCCACUUUACAUAGAAGAGGAAGUAGGAAAGGACAUAACUUAAUAGUCUGCUCUUCCUCCUGAACAUUAGGAUUCAUUCAGGCUUUGCUUACAAGAUAGGUGAAGCCAUGGCUCCUGGAUUUGGGUGGGGAAUUGUUCGUGAAAUGGGGAUUCCUUUUAGCUCCCGGAUUUUUUGUGUCAGUUCUAUAACUGUUUCAAGCUCCUGGGAAAUGGUUACUGACCUUAAAGUCUCCAUCCUUGUAUGAAGAAACUUUAAAUGGUGACUGCUACAUGAACAAAAGGAUUAGAUUGUGUUUGUUUGUUUGUUUUUUAAAAAAGGUCAGUGCUAGCGGUUGUGAACUGAAUUGGCACAAAUAUUAUUUUGGGGGGAGUAAUCACACUACAAAUGUUAAUUGGUUUGCUAUUGGCAGGAUGGCUGUGUUUUCAACAUCUGUGUGAGUUUUUUUUCUAAUGGCCGGUGUUAAUAACAUAAUUAUCACUGUCUAUACUUUCUGCAUUUCAUUUUGUUUUGACCCCAUAAUAACUCUGUUUGUGUGUAUCAGAAUAGCACUGUGCAUCUGAUGAAGUGGACUAUAAUUCACAAAGCUUCUUCCGUAAUAAAUUCAUCAGUCUUCAAGUUUUUAUUUAUACUUUUCAAGUGUAUACAUUUCAUUAGAUUUACAAUCAAUUUAACAUUUCAAAGUUUGACUUCCUUCCCCCUCUUUCUGCGGUUCCUUAAAUUUAUUUUUUAAUAUAUCCUGCAUAUCCAAAUUCAUUUAAUUUGUUCAUUUAAUUAUCUACUUUAAAUAAAUACUCUUAGGAAACUGCAGGUUAUUACAAUCAUCUGCUAAUGUUUUAAUCUGUUGGCAAUUUAUCUGUAAAUAUUCCACAGUUUCCCUUCUUUUAUAAAAAGUGUGUUAUCUUGAUUUCUUAUUCUUCUGGUAAGUUUCCCCAUUUCUGCAUAUUCCAUAAGUUUUUUUUAUCCAUUCAUCAGUCUUCAAGGCACCACAAGAGUCCUUGUUGUUUUAGGUACCUUCUAUUUCCCUUGCAGGAUGCAGACAAGCUUCAGAGGAAGUACCAUAUUUUUCGCUCCAGACCACAAGACGCACCUAGUUUUUGGAGGAGGAAAACAAGAAAAAAAAUAUUCUAAAUUUCAGAAUCCAGAACAACAAGAGGGAUUGCUGCGCAGCGAAAGCAGCAAUCCCUCUUGCUGUUCUGGCUUCUGGGAUAGCUGCGAAGCCUGCAUUCACUCCAUAAGACGCACACACAUUUCCCCUUACUUUUUAGGAGGGAAAAAGUGAGUCUUAUAGAGCAAAAAAUACGGUAUGCUCAAGGAGAAAAUGAGAGAGUUUAAACAGCUCUCCUCUAACACAAUGGGCUCAAUCCAGCCCCAUGGUUGCAUUUCACUUGCAGUAUCCCAUGUAUGCAGCUCCCAUGUCAUGAAGAAUUGUGCUCUGAAAAAAACUUGCAGAUAGAAAACUGCUAAAGAUAAUUUUUGGUUGCUACAAGUUUGGAAGAUUAUGAAACUUAUUCAGUGUGAAGAAAGAAGGACAGCUAUUGAAUAAAUUUAUAGACAGAUGGGAGGAAAGCAAUAUUUUCACUGGUAAUUCUGACGAUCAGGCCUCACAGGAAAGAUUGCGAUUAUAGCUAUUGUACUAAAAUGGUGAAUACUGUUUUAUCAGAAGAUAUGAAAUUGUUUUUCUUUUGUUACCAGUUAACAAAACAAAGACGUAGAUCAAAAAUAGCAUCUUGAGACUUUUAGGGAGAUCCCCCCCCCCAUCAGAAAGCAUGUGGAGGAUCAAUUUUUGUUCAUGCUCCCUCAUCUCAUACGGAAAGGAAGCAUAUUAGGAAGAAUGUUUCUAACCUAGCCUUAAAGACACCUAUUUGAAAAAUUCCUGCACUCAGAGCCUUGCUACCUGGAGCCGUGCUGAAGUUAAAGGACAGCUUGCUGGCUACAUUUGGAAUUAAGAUUUAAAGCUUCAGUGUUCAUAUUUCUUCAAUUUACUAAAAUAUGGCUGAUGAGUGCAAAAAUAUAGUCAUGGUAAUUCAAAGGUAGGAUAUUUUUUCCCCUCUACCUCAGAUUUAUUAGUGCUAAAAAUAUUUCAUAUUAUCCUUCAGCAGAAUAUAUGCUGAGCAUUCAGCAAAUUAAUGAGGUCAUGUAAGCUGCUAGUAUUUUUGUUUUUUUCUGCAGUUUGUAGGAACUGCUAAUUUUCCAUUUUGUUUAACCAGCCUCAUAUUCAAGAGUGAGUUCAGUUUAUUGGUUUCCAAAAGUGUCUUACCUGCCAUUUACUGCAGUUUCUCAGAAAGCACCAUCUAAGAUCACAAUAAAACCAAAUGGGAAUCAUGAGAUUGAACCUCCACAAAUUCGCCUUACUGAGUGUAUAAUAAUCUGAAAGUCAAAACUUGAUCUUAUCCAUAUGACAAUAAAACCAUUGCAAUAACCCAUAAGAGAUCCAGGAAAACGGCAAAAGCUCCAGCAGAAUAAACAUUUCAUCAAUAAACAGAAACUUUUAUCAUAUCACACACUUGCACUUUAACUGCCAAUACAAUUCAAUCGCACUUUUACUGUCAGCCUCUUAUCCCCCCCCCAAAAAAAAGAAGAAAAAAGAAAGAAAGAAAGAAAGAAAGAAAGAAAGAAAGAAAGAAAGAAAGAAAGAUGCAGGGAAGAUAUACCUGCAAAAGACUGGAAACAUGCAGAGAUGAGCUAGCUGAAUUCUCAUGGUUUCCAGUAAAUUCUAUGGGACAGAAAGAAAAUGGGUGCAAUGUGGGACUUGACUGAAAGUAAGAAAAACCUGGCCCCAAUCCCGUUGUUGUUAUUAUUAUUAUUAUUAUUAUUAUUAUUAUUAUUAUUAUACAUUUUAUUAGUUUUACCAUCAAUUUAACAUUUCAAAAUUUAACUUCCUCCCCCCUCUUUCUGAGGUUCCUUUAAAAAAAUUUUUUUUAAUAUCUUCUGCAUAUCCAAAUUCAUUUAAUUUGCUCAUUUAUCUUCUUUAAAUAUAUACUCUUAUGAAACUGCAGGUUAUUACAACAAUGUUUUUAUCUGUUUGCAGUUUAUCUGUAAAUAUUCCAUAAACCAUUUCCAUUCUUUUAUAAAAAGUUUGUUAUCUUGAUUUCUUAUUCUUCCGGUUAAGUUUCGCCAUUUCUGCAUAUUCCGUACGUUUUCGUAUCCAUUCUUCCUUUGCUGGGACUUCUGCUUCUUUCCACUUUUGGGCAAGUAACAUUCUUGCUGCUGUAGUAGCACACAUGAAUAAGUUUCUGUACAGUUUCGGUAGUUCUGUCCCUAGAAUUCCCAUAAGAAUUAUUAUUAUUUUUCUCAUCAUCAUCAUUUCCCAGCAUACCACCAUACUUUUUCCCAUUUAAGUGAAUGAGUGACAGUACUGGAAACAGUGCAUCAUCCCUUAAGAUUCUCUCAGGCUCCUCCCCAGACUUGCCAGAUUCCUUAAAGUUCUACUCUUACUCUAUCUCUAGCUAGGCAGAUUUCACCUAGGGCAGGCUAGGCCCUCCAGAUGUUUUGAGACUACAAUUCCCAGCAUCCCUGACCACCGGUCCUGUUAGCUAGGGAUCAUGGGAGUUGUAGGCCAAAAACAUCUGGAGGGCUGAGGUUGAGGAAGCCUGACCCAAGGUUACUUAAUCCCAACUCCAGCCUUCCAGGCUGCAUUGGUGGGCGAGCUCAACUUUAAAAGAUAUUGUUGAAAACAAAAGCCAGCAACCUACAGCAGAACAGGACAGCUGUUGCAUAUGUCGCGAUCAUACCAGCAGCGUAGUGCUGGUUGCCCUCGCUACCGAUGCCUCCAGAGCAACCCCACCCCCGCUGGAGCGAAGAAGGGCCACACUUGGUGUAGUGGUUAAGAGCGGUAGACUCGUAAUCUGGUGAACCGGGUUCACAUCCCCGCUCCUCCACAUGCAGCUGCUGGGUGACCUUGGGCUAGUCACACUUCUCUGAAGUCCCUCAGCCCCACUCACCUCACAGAGUGUUUUUUGUGGGGGAGGAAGGAAAAGGAGAUUGUUAGCUGCUUUGAGACUCCUUCGGGUAGUGAUAAAGCGGGAUAUCAAAUCCAAACUCCUCUUCUUCUUCUUCUUCUUCUUCUUCUUCUUCUUCUUCUUCCCGGCCCUUGCAGUGGGGAGCCCAGUUGGCCGACGUGACUCUUGGCAAGCGGAGAAGAUCACUGGGCCAGGCCACGCUGGGUUUGCCUGUGGAAAGAUUACAAAGACUUUAUUUGCGUAGCCAACAGGCCAUAGCAUCAAAGGACAGACACCGACAAAAAUACAUUACAAAUAUAGUUACCGUAUAAUCUUAUGACCUAUUAAAACCCUAAGUAGAAGCUGGAUUAUCAUUCAUCAAUGACCCUCUGUCCCAUAGGCAGUGGCCUUUUCUCUGGUAGAUUGUUCCAGGUCGGUUAAGUAAAUAGACCAGCCAAAUUGAAAGAUUAUAAAUAUAAAUAUAACCUCGGGGGGAUGGUCAGGACAGGGAGAAAGAUAAUAAUAACCAGAUGCAGAUAGGUUAAAAAUCUCAGUACCUAAAACUUAGCAGAGAUAAUAAAAUACUAAUAAUAAAACAUAAGGAUAAUAAUGAUAGGAUCCUUGGCAAGGAAUCCGGGUGACGACACUGAUGUCAUUCAGAUAGCAGCUCUCAGUCUCAUUGCUCUCUCGAAAAAUUUAGCAACCUUCUCUGUUGUCGAGCUGUUCUGGUCGGCUAGGUGUGAGAACAAUUUGGCUUCACAAGAGCGGCCCGGGAUAGCAGAUAGGAGCGGCGUGAUGGUUGCUUGGUUUGCACCCGCUCAAAAAUUGUGCACUCAGGCCCCACUCCCGGCACCCCCCACUCUAUGCCCCUGGAUCAUAAUGGGAGGUGGCAGGCAGAUAGGUUCAUAAAUAAAUAAAAAAGUUAAAGGACCCCUGGACAGUUAAGUCUAGUCAAAGGCGACUAUGGGGUUGCAGCACUCAUCUCGCUUCAGGCCGAGUGAACUGGCGUUUGUCCACAGACAGCUUUCCGGGUCAAGUGGCCAGCAGGACUAAACUGCUUCUGGCGCAACGGGACACCGUGACGGAAGCCAGAGCGCACUGAAAUGCCAUUUACCUUCCCACCAUAACAGUAUCUAUUUAUCUUCUUGCACUGGCGUGCUUUCGAACUGCUAGGUUGGCAGGAGCUGGGACAGAGCAACGGGAGCUCAUGCCGUCGCAGGGAUUCGAACCACUGACUUUCUGAUCGGCAAGCCCAAGAGGCUCAGUGGUUUAGACCACAGCACCACGAGCGUCUCAUCCAGGUUUGUAAAUAUGCUCAUGUUUGCAUGGUACUCUCUCUCUCUCUCUCUCUCUCUCACACACACACACACCACCUUUGAACCAAUAGAGAAUUCACUUUUCCGUAAAAUCCUUUCACCAUUGGAUUCCUCUGUUAAGAGUUGCAGAAGGAGAAUACACCAUUUUCUCUUCCUCCGUAGAGUUUUGCUACUUGCAAAAGCCUGCCAUUAUAAUUUACUCAUUGGCUUUCCAUUCCCAUUUCUUUCCCUGCGAGAUAACAUAAAGAUCAGCUGCUCCCUGCUGUGAUAAUUCACGUAGAUCAUGAGACUUUGAUAGACGUGACAACAGAAAUAACCUUCAGGUUGCUACUCCUUUUAUGCUAGCUGCACACACAAGAGCCCUCUACCCCAGAGUGCCCGGCGUGAGGGUUACAAAAGGUCCUCACCCGCAAGUGCAGAGUUCAGAAAGUAAAAAAAAAAAUCUUAUCACGACCACCUCACAGCGUAAAGCCAGAGAUUAAUCAUGGGGGAAGGGGUGCUCUCUGUUAUUGACAGAGUUGUAUCGCAGAAAUGACAGCGUGAGGCAGGUAAGCAGUACUUGUGAGUGCACAACAAACUGGAGAAAGGGAUUUUCAUAAAGCUCAGACAGAUACCCUUUGGAAUGGAGUGCUUAAACAAGCUGGUGGGGCUUUGCAGAAGGAAAUAGAUAGCAUCGCUGGAUCGGGCGUCUGUUUUCACCAUAUGCUUACAAGAGAUAGCUAGAUCACAGAAAGCAGAGAGCGAGAGAGAGUCUAUUAAGCCAGAUGAGUGGAAGGGUAUUCAAUGAGACUAAUGAGUAAUGCAUCUUAGACAGCAUCUUAAAAAGCAGACACAUCACCUUGCCAACAAAGGUCCAUAUAGUUAAAGCUAUGGUUUUCCCAGUAGUGAUGUAUGGAAAUGAGAGCUGGACCGUAAAGAAGGCUGAUCGCCGAAGAAUUGAUGCUUUUGAAUUAUGGUGCUGGAGGAGACUCUUGAGAGUCCCAUGGACUGCAAGAAGAUCAAACCUAUCCAUUCUUAAGAAAAUCAGCCCUGAGUGCUCACUGGAAGGACAGAUUGUGAAGCUGAGACUCCAAUACUUUGGUCACCUCAUGGGAAGAGAAGACUCCCUGGAAAAGACCCUGAUGUUGGGAAAGAUGGAGGGCACAAGGAGAAGGGGACGACAGAGGACGGGAUGGUUGGACAGUGUUCUUGAAGCUACCAGCAUGAGUUUGACUAAACUGCGGGAGGCAGUGGAAGACAGGAGUGCCUGGCGUGCUCUGGUCCAUGGGAUCACAAAGAGUCGGACACGACUAAACGACUAAACAACAACAACAAUGAGUAACGCCUUGGAAUGGCAAACAAAAGAUGAACGGGUUAAAUCUGUAAUGAUACACUGGGCAAGGGAUUUGGGGCAUAAUAUCCAAAUUUCAGAUUGGAAAAGGUUAUGGAAAACUGACUUGAAAUUCUUGGCGUGUUGUACGCUGAAAGAAAACUACAAUGGUACCUCUGGAUGCGAACGGGAUCCGUUCCGGAGCCCCGUUCACAUCCUGAAGCAAACGCAACCCGCGUCUGCACAUCUGCACGUGCGCGGGUCGCGAUUUAUCACUUCUGUGCAUGCGCGCAACGUCAUUUUGAGCGUCUGUGCAUGCACGAGUGGCGAAACCCGGAAGUAACGCGUUCCAUAACUUCCAGGUCACCACGGAGCGCAACCCAAAAAUGCUCAACCCGAAGCUACUUCAACCCAAGGUAUGACUGUAUAUGAAAAUCAUGUACUGGUGGUAUUUGACUCCUAGGAAAUUAGCAAAAAUGUAUAAGACAAGCACAAAUACCUGCUGGAAAUGUAAAGAAAAAGGAGGUACCUUUUACCAUAUGUGGUGGUCGUGUAAGGUAAUAAAAGCAUUCUGGGAAAUGAUAUAUAAUGAAUUGAAAAAACGUUCAAAAUAACUUUUAUUUUAAAAAGAAGCUUUUUUAUUAAGAAUUGUAGGUACCGAGAUCCCAAAGGAGCAGAAAAGACUUUUCAUGUACGUGACAACAGCUGCAUGCAUGCUACUAGCCCAGAGAUGGAAAGAAGAUAAAGUCCCUACCAGAGAGGAAUGGCAAACCAAGCUGCUGGACUGCACCAAAAUGGCAAAACUGACCAGAAAACUCAGGAACCAAGAAGACAAAAACUUCAAUAAAAGAUGGGGAGAAUUUAUAAUUUAUUUAGGAGACCACUGUAAGCAAAUGAAAACAUUAGCAGGAUUUUAAUAACACUUACAAUGUAACAAUCACUAUAGACAAUAUGGAGAGAUACAAAAUAUGGAUUAUGAAAUAAUAUGCGGUUGGAAAUGUUGACAAUAAGACCCAUAGAGUGGAGGCUGGGAAGUCUGGCGAAAUCUCUAAAUAUGGAUAUGUAUUUUGGUAUUGUUAUAACUUUACACUUGCAGGACAAGGCAUUGGUCUUUUCAUACCCCAACCGAACUAAUAAGAGACCAAUGAGACUGGUUUUGGGGGUCAAAACAGGCCACAACUUUACUGAAAGUCUUUAAAUUCUUCUGGAUGACCUAACAUGGCAGUAAAGCCUCUCCUCCUCCCGGGGGGGAGGGGUUGUGAUCUGGAACCGUUCCCAUGCUUCGCAGGGCGCGUUUCGGCCCCUGCUUGCCGUCAUUGCUGCCGCGCCAUGCUUCCCGGUCAGUCUUCCAAUUGGAGGGAAGCUCGGGGGCAGGGUUUAGCCGGUCAAAUGCGGCCGCGGCAGCUCUUUCCCCUCAUUGCGCUGCCGGGUUUCAACGGGUCAACCACCCACCCUUCCCUUUAGUUCAUCGCUUCGUGCUUGACCUUGCUAUGGACCUCUGGUUGGUCGCCCUGGUUGCCCAAGGGGCCUGGUAGGAGUUUUUACCCAAUUGGCAAAUUGGCGCCGGCCACUUGGUUUUUCACCUACCUUCUAGCAAAUCGUCACAACUUUCUGGUAUUGCCGGUUAGGCAUUGGAAUAUGUUGUUGGUGUAUGGAAGGGCAGGGUGUGGCCAUCGCCUACCGCUUCACUUUAUGGGUAUUCCGUUAAAGGAAUCUGGUGGUCGUGGAUCCUGUCCGAUGACCUGCUGGUGGCUGGGGGCCGUGGCACGACCCCCGGUGACAUCAGGGGAGAGCUUACGGUUGUAUUUGCAUCAACAGGCUCCCCCUAUUGGUGGUUAACCCUUGUUAGGCUCACCCCUCCCUGAGGGGGUGGAGUCAAGCUCUGCUGUUUAUCCAAUGCCUAAGCCAAUACCUCUCACAUGCUGUAAUCAAUAAAGUUGUGGCCUUUUCUUGCCCAUUAACCUACUACAGGUGAAACUCAAAAAAUUAGAAUAUCGUGGAAAAGUUCAUUGAUUUCAGGAAUUCAACUUCCAAGGUGAAACUAAUAUAUGAGAUCAACUCAUGACAUGCAAAGCAAGAUGUGCUUCCACUUCUCGGAGGUCCAAUCUUGCUCCAUUUCCAAUCUUUGUUUUGCUGAUUUCCUUGAAUAUUCUAAUUUUCUGAGAUUGUUAAUUUGGGGUUUUCAUCAGCUGUAUGCCAUGACCAUCACAAUGAUAACAAAUCAAGGCAAAAAUAUCUCGCUCUGCAUGUCACGAGUCUAUCUCAUAUAUUAGUUUCACCUUUUAAGUUGAAUUACGGAAAUCAAGGAACUUCUCCACGAUAUUCUAAUUUUUCGAGUUUCACCAGUAUACUGUGUCCUUGUGUCUUUCUUAUCCCAAAGUGGGGGGUUCCUCGAAUCACAAUGUGGGUUUCCUGUUUUAAAAUGUCUCGUGCCUCUUCUGGCAACCGUCGCUCCCUCUAUCCCGCUCUUUGUUGUGGCCAUACAUUCAGAGCUAGGGAUAGAACAUUGAGCCACUUCCAAGAGGAACUCAGCAAGCUGAGCAGCACGGAGACAGAACAAUGGCUACUGGCAACAGAGCAGAAACAGAGGGACAGGGUAUUUUUGAAUAUUAUGUUGCUGGAAAGCAAGAGGGACCACACAAUAAAAAUGGGAACCAGAAGAGAGGAGAAUAGAGGACAACAAAAAGACAAUUAAGCGGUCAAAUGACAGCUCAUUUGAGCUGGCUGUAUUUAUUAUAUUACAUGGAGACCAGACCUCUUUUCUUGUUCCAGGUUCCUUCUCUUUCACUUCUGGUAUUCCUCUCAAUCCCAAAUCAUUUUAGAUAGAGUUUCAAGCUUAACGUUGACGACGACAAAUUUAAGAAUCAUCUUUUUACACAUACGUCUCAAUGUAAUUUAGAGAUAUUAAAACAGCUAUAAUAGGGUUUGUUUGUUUGUUUGUUUUUUAAAUGUACAAAAAACUGAAAGUUGGUUUUUAAAAACUGGUGGGUCAAUCAACUACAGCCCUGGAGGUGCUACAGACUACUGCUUUCAUCACUCCUUGAAAUUUGCCAUGCUGGCUGGAGCUGAUUAGGAACUAUAAGUUCAAUGACAUCUCAGAGGUGCCCAUAUAACUGCCAAAUCCUGUUGAGUUGGAUGAGUUUCGGCCCAGUAUACCUGAAGGAGCAUCUCCACCCCCAUCAUUCAGCCCGGACACUGAGGUCCAGUUCCAAGGGUCUUCUUGCGGUUCCCUCACUGGGAGAAGGGAGGUUACAGGGAACCAGGCAAGAGGGCCUUCUCGGUAGUGGUGCCCGCCCUGUGUAAUGCCCUCCCAUCAGAUGUCAAGGAAAUAAAGAACUAUCUGAUGUUUAGAAGAUAUCUGAAAGCAGCCCUGUUUAGGGAAGUUUUUAAUGUUUGGUGUUUUAUCAUGUUUUUAAUAUUCUGUUGGGAGUUGCCCAGAGUGGCUGGGGAAACCCAGCCAGAUAGGCAGGGUAUGUAUGUAUGUAUGUAUGUAUGUAUGUAUGAAUGAAUGAAUAAAUAAAUAAACUAUUAUUAUUAUUAUUAUUAUUAUUAUUAUUAUUAGCAAGGCUUAAGCAUGUGGACAAGGCCUUGUAAAUGUGUUUGUGGGUAGGUGGGGUAUUGCUUUGUUUCCGUUUCCAUUUUUGCUUUUGUUUUAGCAUGUAUUCUAGUGAGCCUUCCUGUGAUCUAUACAAGUUCAUAACAAUAGAUAGAUAGACAGAUAGACAGACAUAUAUAGCUAUAGCUAUAGAUAUAGAUACCCCUGACCGUUAGGUCCAGUUGCGGACGACUCUGGAGUUUCGCGCUCAUCUCGCUCUAUAGGCUGAGGGAGCCGGCGUUUGUCCACAGACAGCUUCCGGGUCAUGUGGCCAGCAUGACGAAGCCGCUUCUGGCGAACCAGAGCAGUGCACGGAAAUGUAGUUUACCUUCCCGCCGGAGCGGUACCUAUUUAUCUACUUGCACUUUGACAUGCUUUCGAACUGCUAGGUGGGCAGGAGCAGGGACCGAGCAACGGGAGCUCACACCGUCACGGGGAUUUGAACCACCAACCUUCUGAUCAGCAAGCCCUAGGCUCAGUGGUUUAGACCACAGUGCCCCCACAUCCUUAUAGAUAUAGAUAUAUUAAGAGGGAGAGAGAGAGAGAGAGAGAGAGAGAGAGAGAGAGAGAGAGAUGUUGAGGACCAUUAACCACUUCUGAACUAAAACAGCAAUUCAUGGAUUAAGGAUGUGUCAGUGAAAGCAAAUCUUAAAAAUUGGUAAGGCUGAGAAUUAAAGGUCACUUGGCUUCUGAACCUGUUUUGGUUCUGCUGCAUUGUGGGCAAAGAGUGGGGGGGAACAAUUUUAAGGUUGCCUUUUCUUCUAAAAACGUGCUUUCAUUUGCUUAUUAAAUUGCUUGUAUUCUCACACUUUCUUGCAAAUCUGAACGAAUCUUUGUCACUGAAUUCAUUCUAUACAGAUUUGUUUAAACGAAAUCCACUGAUUAGCUUAAGUAUCCAGUUAAAAGUAAUCAAAAGGAACCUGUCACAAAUGCUGCAAUCCAAUGGGCGCUAAUGCGUCUAAAAUGUUGGCUUAAUUCUUUCAGGACCCUUUUACAGCAUUCAUUUGGGAAUCAUUGGACAAGUGUAAAGUAUCUCUUUGAAUCCUGGCCAGCUGUUUGUUAUCCCAUUGGUUCUGGCUUGCUCUAAAAGAAAUCUCUUUGCCCAGAAAACAUUUCAGUUUGGCUUCUUUUCCACAAUAAACAAACAAACGACACUUUAAAAAAUGCUCAUCUGUUAAAAUAUGUAAAUCUCUACUUAAAAGUUACUCGAUUAGCAGAAGAAAUAAGCAGUCAUUGUGGCUUUAUUUCAAAAUGAAAAGUAUUAACAGUUGCUCACAAGGGCAAGUGAGGGUCUUCCACCAAAAUCUAAUUUUCAGAGCUUUCCAAAGGGGGGAAAAAUGGGGUUUAUUUAUACAACCAGCCUGUUGACUGCUGUUUCAGAAAUGGGUGGGGGACAAUGUUAUUUGGUUAAGAAUUUGGCACCUUGUUCAGAAAUACAAGGUUUUCCUAUUAAAAAUACAUCUUGAUUUUCUCGCAACCCUUUGAAAUUCUGCGAUUGAAUCAGAGCUAAAAAGGGCUAACUGACUCAAAUGUCACCAGAGUUGCAAACACUGAGAGGCCUUAGACCUCCUGGGAUUUUUUCUCAGCUUUGCCCUCUUGUGCAAUGGAGUGAUAAUGAUACCGCGUUACUUGAUAGGUUGCAAGCAUGACUGUGAAUGUGUUGUGAAGCACUUUGAACACUCAGAAAAGGUGCUGUAUAUGCUGCGAAUCUUUCAUAAUGAGGUUUCAGAUAUUUGCAAGUCUGUCCACCUUUUCAGACCCUCCAAGUGCCCCUAUUUUUCAGGGACACUCCCUGGUAUACCGAAGCUGACCCAGUUUCUGAUUUGAUCCUGGAAUGUCCCACUUUUCCUCAGAGUGUUCCUAUUUUCAUUGGAGAAAUGUUGGACGCUAUGGUAGGAUCUUGCUAUUGUCAUCAGAGAAAUAUUGGCAGGUAUGGAGUUAUGUGAACCCUGAGGCAAGGAAAUAAGUAACUGUAUAACCUUUAGAAGUCACCUGAAGGCAGCCCUGUACAGUGGUACCUCGGGUUACAUACGCUUCAGGUUACAGACGCUUCAGGUUACAGAUUCCGCUAACCCAGAAAUAGUACCUCGGGUUAAGAACUUUGCUUAAGGAUGAGAACAGAAAUCGUGCUUUGGUGGUGCGGCGGCAGCAGGAGGCCCCAUUAGCUAAAGUGGUGCUUCAGGCUAAGAACAGUUUCAGGUUAAGAACGGACCUCCAGAACGAAUUAAGUACUUAACCCGAGGUACCAAUGUAUAGGGAAAUUUUUAAUGUUUAAUGUUUUAUUAAGUUUUUGUGUAUGUUGGAAGCCACCCAGAGUAGCUGGGGAAACUAGUCAAGAUGGGUGGGGUAUAAAUAAUAAAAUGAUGAUGGUAAAAUAGGAUUUCCCUAUUGUCAUCGGAGAAAUGUUGAAGGGUAUGCCUUUUCCUUCUCCCAUAAAAAAGCCCGGAUACAGAGGCCCAGCUCCGAGGGUCUUCUGGUGGUUCCCUCCAUGCAAGAAGUGAGCUUACAGGGAACCAGGCAGAGGGCCUUCUCGGUAGUGGCGCCUGCCCUGUGGAACGCCCUCCCAUCAGAUGUCAAGGAAAUAAACAACUAUCUAACUAUUUAGUUAGCAGCCCUAUUUAGGGAACCUUUUAAUGUUUGGCUGGGAGAACCCAGCCAGAUGGGCGGAGUAUAAAUAAUCUAUUAUUAUUAUUAUUAUUAUUAUUAUUAUUAUUAAUCAGUGCUUUUUUCUGGGGGGGCUCAGGGGGACACAUACCCCUAAACAUUUUGUGAAUCUAAGUUUGGCCUCAUUGAGGGGCAGUAUUUCAAUAUGAGUAGGAAAAUGAGAGUACCCCUAAACAUUUUUUAAGAAAAAAAGUACUUAUUAUUAUUAUUAUUAUUAUUAUUAUUAUUAUUAUUAAGAACAAAAGACAAUCAAGAAAAAAAGCAUGGUCCAAACUGGAUUUGAACACUGAACCAUUCAUCUCAGCUUCUGUAUGUUGAUAUGUGCUCAGUGCCUAACUAAUGUAUGCAUUCUUGAAUUGAAAUAACAAUCCUAUUCUCUCUCUCAACUUUAUUUUCAAGGGAAAUAUAUUCUAUUUAUUUGGUACAUUUAUAUACCGCCUAUUAACUUGGUCCUCCGGACAGUUCACAUCAUUAUCAAAACAACAAACUUCAAGGUGCACUCAGGGUCAUGCACAUCAAAAGUGUUCAGAGCUCUUCCACAGACCCCUGGCUUCAGCAGUGAAAGAGAUCUGUCCCAUAUCUAUCGGCAAUUUCCAGCUCUGCUCUGGGGCUGAUAACAAAGAAGACAGCAAACAUUUUGGCCCAUGACUGGGGGCGGGGUGGGGAAUUGCAUGCAUUAUCAUCCGCACAGUACAGAGAUAUUUCAUCUAUUAAUAAUGCAUGGGUUAUGAAUAAAUAGCAAGUGACAAUUGGGAUGACUGCUGUUUUGGAUGUUAUAAACCAUAACGUUUCUGUGCAAACAGUUCAUGAAUAUAGAGAAGAAAGGAUUUUAAUGGAAUGAAUCAGUAGCAGCAGAAGAAGAAAAAAAAGAAAGAAUUCCAGAUGAAAAGGGAGCUUGUUUUGCACAGCACUGGGAAACACAGAAGGCUGUUCUCAUAUGAAAGGCAGGUUUCUCCUUUUCCGCAUGAAUGCACAUGGACAAAAGUCUCAUUUGAUGCUCAGGGAUGGAUCCUAAUUAUUUCAUUGUAUUAAUUUAGUCACACAUGACAUUAUUUAUAUGUACAAUGCCAUCGACAUGCAGAGCAACAUGGGGGGGGGGGGAGGAAGAAGGAAUGUCCCUUCCCAGGGAAACUUUCCUUCUCAAUUUCUGCAGUGGAAGAAACUAUUCCUAGAGUGGAAACACUCUGUUGAUACAUGCUAAACAGACAGCUGCCAUCUUCACAGUCCUGCCGACCAAUCUUUCAUGUUGCAUGCUUUAAAGUGCUGUGGGUGCCCGCCCACGCCCCAAAUCUCCUUGCAGUGGUCCUGGUAUGCAUAAGGGAUUCCAAAUGUCCUCAAAUAAUAAUAAUAAUAAUAAUAAUAAUAAUAAUAAUAAUAAUAAUGUCUCUGCUUUUUAAAAAAGAAAAAAAAAAGCAAAAAAAGGUCCGUAUAGUUAAAGCCAUGGUUUUUCCAGUAGUGAUGUAUGGAAGUGAGAGCUGGACCAUAGAGAAGGCUGAUCGCCAAAGAACUGAUGCUUUUGAAUUAUGGUGCUGGAGGAGACUCUUGAGAGUCCCAUGGACUGCAAGAAGAUCAAACCUCUCCAUUCUGAAGGAAAUCAGCCCUGAGUGCUCACUGGAAGGACAUAUGCUGAAGCUGAGGCUCCAAUACUUUGGCCACCUCAUGAGAAGAGAAGACUCCCUGGAAAAGACCCUGAUGUUGGGAAAGAUGGAGGGCACAAGGAGAAGGGGACGACAGAGGACGGGAUGGUUGGACAGUGUUCUCAAAGCUACGAACAUGAGUUUGACCAAACUGGGGGAGGCAGUGGAAGAUAGGAGUGCCUUGUGUGCUGUGGUCCAUGGGGUCACGAAGAGUCGGACACGACUAAACGACUAAACAACAACAUUUUUAUUAAUUUAUUUCUUAUACCCUGCCCAUCUGACCGGGCCUCCCCAGCCAUUCUGGGUGGCUCCCAACACAAUAUUAUAAACACGAUAAAACAUCAAACAUCAAAAACUUCCCUUGAGAUGUCUUCUAAAAGUCAGAUAGUUGUUUAUUUCCUUGACACCUGAUGGGAGGGCGUUCCACAGGGCAGGCGCCACCACCGAAAAGACCCUCUGCCUGGUUCCCUGUAACCUCAUUUCUCGCAGUGAGGGGAUCGCCAAAAAGCCCUUGGAGCUGGACCUCAGUUUCUGGGCUGAAUGAUGGGGGUGGAGGCGCUCCUUCAGAUAUACUGGGUCGAGGCCAUUUAGGGAGGAGGAGGCACACAAAGGAGGGCUUCAGAAGGUGACCUCAGAGUCUGGGUAGGUUCAUGUGGAAAGAAGUUGUCCUUGAGGUAUUGCGGUCCUGGGCCGUUUAAGGCUUUAUAGGUCAAACCAGCACUUUGAAUUGGGCCCAGAAACUAAUUGGUAGCCAAUGCAGUUGGACCAGGAUCAGUGUACUAUGCUCAAACCGUCUUGCUCCAGUGAGCAACCUGGCUGCUGAAUUCUGCACCAGCUGAAGUUUCUGAACCAUCUUCAGAGGCAGCCCUACUUAUAACGCAUUGCAGUAAUCUAACUUGAAGUUACCAGAGCAUAGACAACAGUAGUUAGGCUAUCCCUGUCCAGACACUCCGGGCCACAGAAGAAGAAGAAGAAGAAGAAGAAGAAGAAGAAGAAGAAGAAGAAGAAGAAGAAGAAGAAGAAGAAGAAGAAGAAGAAGAAGAAGAAGAAGAAGAAGAACAACAACAACAACAACAACAACAACAACAACAACAACAACAACACACCCUGAACUUUCUUAUGAGUAAGCAUUUUUAGGACCAAAGUAUUGUAAUGGCUUGCGGGACGCGGGUGGCGCUGUGGGUAAAACCUCAGUGCCUAGGACUUGCCGAUUGUAUGGUCGGCGGUUCGAAUCCCCGUGGUGGGGUGAGCUCCCGUCUUUCGGUCCCAGCUUCUGCCCACCUAGCAGUUCGAAAGCACCCCUAAGUGCAAGUAGAUAAAUAGGUACCGCUUUAUAAUGGGAAGGUAAACGGCGUUUCCGUGUGCUGCGCUGGUGCUGGCUCACCAGAGCAGCUUUGUCACGCUGGCCACGUGACCCGGAAGUGUCUUCGGACAGCGCUGGCUCCCGGCCUCUUAAGUGAGAUGAGCGCACAACCCUAGAGUCGGACACGACUGGCCCGUACGGGCAGGGGUACCUUUACCUUUACCUUUAUUGUAAUGGCUUAGCAGUUAGCACAGUAGGUCCUUUGGAAAUAUGGCUUGCAGCAAGCAUUUGCAAGCAACUCGCAUGCAAGGAUUAAUGACCAAAAACACAUGGAAUUUGUGUAAUUUUAAUUGGGUAAGGUGCAUCAUUUUCGCAAGCUUGAUAAGGUCAUUUGAGAAACAAUUAGGUGGCACCAUGGGGUAAAUAAAGCAGGCACAUGGAAUAAAUGAUAGCUCACCUAACCUUUCUUAGCUCCUGUAAUUGCGUACACAUUAUUCAAAGUUAAGCAAAAGGACACACGUAAAUUGGACCCUCCACUGUGAUAUAGCUGCCACGAGACAAACGCGAUAAUGCCCGGGCUGGCGCAUGGCUCACAAAACAUGAUAUUAUAGAUCUCCUUCAGACCAUUGACAGAGUUUGCAAAUUGCAUAACUUGCCUAAUUCCUGCUUUGAGAUAGUGUUCCUGCUCGCUGCAUAAUGCUCAUCAGUCUUUCAGAAACUGUCGCGGGUCGCUAACAAUAGCUGUCAUUGAGAAAAUAAUCCUAGGCAAUUUUCUACCAGAUAAUUCAACCUACCGUGUUAUCUUCUUCAGGGGAGUGAAAGGGGAACGCCAGGGGAGCUUAAACGGUGGCUUUACCCAGCGAAAGAUUAUUCCAGUUCUGAGGCAGCUCUGCUUAAAAAGGUUAGAAGCCUAGAAAUACUCUACAUUCCAUCAACAGCGGAAUGCACUGAUAAUGGCAGAGUUUAAACAGCCGCUCCAAUUAUCAUCAAAUAGCAUGUAAAAGUCUACUCCAAAGCUACCAAAGUCUAUUAGCUUAUCCUUCUCUCAAAGCCAUGGUAGUGCUCUAGUUCCCUUCUGCUUCACAAUGAUAUGGAUUUGCGUCCGUGAGAAUCGGCAGACGGUACUUCGCUCUUAUCAGUUGCUGGGGAAAAUCGUGAAUUCAGAACUUUCCAAAACCUGACGUGAAGCCUAUUUAAAAUUAGAAACUGACAUGAAAUCAGUGUUUUGGACUUUGCCCGCUACUUAGAGAGAAGAGCCGUCUUCCAUUCCUAGGGUGAGCCAGGCUGGUGGCCCCACGGCAGGGAGGUACCUUGUCAUCGUCCCCCAGUGUGUCCUUUGGAAGAAGUGCAGCGGCAGAAUAAAACCACCUGGUGCUGUGCCCUGCAAGCAGAGGGGCAGGCAGGUGGUAGGGCUGAGCGAUAUCCGGUUUUCAACAUCGUGAUGCAUCACCAGCUGAACAUCGCAAUAGACAAUGUCUGGAAUAAGGAUGGAGCUGUGUAGGUUCUUACACAGCUUUUAGAAGACAUCUGAAGGCAGCCCUGUACCGGGAGGUUUUUACUGCUUGAUAUUUUUAUUAUGUUUUUAGAUGUGCUAUAAGCCACCCAGAGUGGCUGGGGAAACCCAGUCAGAUGGGGAAGGUAUAAUAAAUAAAUAAAUAAAUAAACAAACAAACAAACAAACAAACAAAUGCAGGCCCUAGUUUUGGGCAGAGAACAAUCUUUUCUAUAUUUUCAUGAGCAUUUUGACAGUAUUUAAAUAUCUAAUAAUAAUCACCAUUUUUAAAAAUAAAUGACGAAUGAUGAUACCUGAUUUGAAUAUAGUUUCCUCCAUUAGUUCUACUUACACUACCCAUAGCAGACUUCCUAGUUCCAAGUCAGCAGAAACAUGUGAUUUUGUUGCCCGAUUCAUCAACAUUCACUGAGAUAGGUAAAGGUAAAGGGACCCCUGACCAUUAAGUACAGUCGUGACUGACUCUGGGGUUGCGGCGCUCAUCUCGCUUUAUUGGCCAAGGGAGCCAGCGUACAGCUUCCGGGUCAUGUGGCCAGCAUGACUAAGCCGCUUCUGGAGAACCAGAGCAGUGCACGGAAACACCAUUUACCUUCCCGCCGGAGCGGUACCUAUUUAUCUACUUGCACUUUGACAUGCUUUCGAACUGCUAGGUUGGCAGGAGCAGGGACCGAGCAACGGGAGCUCACCCUGUUGCGGGGAUUCAAACUGCCAAUCUUCUGAUUGGCAAAUCCUAGGCUCCAUGGUUUAACCCACAGCGCCACCUAAAACAUGUGUCUUGGGACACCGUACUCUUGCGGGAGUGGGGCCCCGGAAGGCGGGCGUCCCAGUUUUCCGCAGCAACAUCAGAGGGUAUGUGGACCAAGCUCAGAAUGCCUCUUUAUCGACAUUUCAAAUUCACCAACUUUUGAGAAUCUGCAACGGUGGCAGAAACAGCAGCUUCUCUCUUUGCUCCAUAAUCUUUGUUGCCACGGCAAAACAAAUAUGUUGAUGGACUAACAUCACCACAGCCGAAAAGCUGACACCAGGGAUCAGAUGGUAGACCACUGAGAGACUACUGAAGAUUGGUGACUUCGACUUUUGAAAUCAUGGGUAUCAGUGAGCAUCCUAAAGGAUUUUUUACUUCCACACUUUAAGGACAAAUAAAUCUUGCUAGACAAUAUGUUUUCUGCCGGUUGGCAGGUAUAUUAUUGUAGGAAGCAGGUGCUUCACCAGUGUCAUGGAAGCCACUUUGCAUAAUAGAAUGCAGAAAUAAAGACUCAGCAUACAGCAGAAGAUCUGUUCUUCAGUGUAAAUAAAUUUAGCAGCCAGUUGGAGAGGUGUAUUCUCAAGAGUACUACUAUUUUGUCUAUUCAGCAAGCCAUAAAUCAGUUGGCUGUUCCUUUUCUGGCUGCAGAGAGCAAGUGAGUCACAGUCGGUCAUGGGAACUUCACAAAGUAAAUUUGAGUCACAAAGGCCUGAAAAACGUGGGACCCACAUGAUAAGUUCUGCCCAUUAAGCAUAUAUAUGGUCGCCAGGGAGAAGUUCGAGCCUGUUUUGGUCACCUAUCUGGGACUGCAAACCUGGUUUCAGAGCUCUCAGCAGAUCACGAGGAACAACUGGUGGGCUAUCUUCACAAGUACAGUGGUACCUUGGGUUAAGUACUUAAUUCAUUCCAGAGGUCCAUACUUAACCUGAAACUGUUCUUAACCUGAAGCACCACUUUAACUAAUGGGGCCCCCUGCUGCCGCCGAGCCACUGGAGCACAAUUUCUGUUCUCAUCCUGAAGCAAAGUACUUAACCUGAGGUAAUAUUUCUGGGUUAGCAGAGUCUGUAACCUGAAGUGUAUGUAACCUGAAGCGUAAGUAACCCGAGGUACCACUAUAGUACAGUUAAAACCUGUGAAAGGUGUCCUUUCAAUAGGGCCCUCGGGCCAAAGUGUAGAAAUCAGGAUCAGAUAAGUUUGUUCCUCCAAAUGCAAGAGAGGAUAACCCCUUGACCCACCAAGCAAAACUCCCAGGAUGCCAUGCGGUGUCUUGGAGCAGAAUGAAAGCUUACAUGGGGGUGAGUGAGUGGGGGUGAAAAGGUUAAGUGUUGAGGGUGCCUUGACUGCUCAUUUCCAGUUUGGUUUUGGGCAGGCUUCCUGUUAUGUACUGAGUUGAAUAGGAUCCAAAAUGCAGCAGUCUGAUUGGUCCUAGAACAAUAGGAUUCAGAAUGCAGCAGUCUGAUUGGUCCUAGAACAAUAGGGUCCAGAAUGCAGCAGUCUGAUUGGUCCACAGAAGCCACCCAAUCCAGCUCCAGGUGGAAGUGAAUCCACAACCUGAUUGGUCCACAGGUGAAUCCCAGAAUUAGCCAAUCACGUGGGGCCCAUUGUGUAAAUAAUGUAUAUGAAGCAGACAUUCUGGGGGAACUCCCAUUCCUCCUCACCACUAUGAGCUGAAUAAAGAGCAUGAAAUCCACUCUCGACUCCCGACUAUAUUUCAUGCUCCAAUUGGAGAACAGCCUUUACCAAAGGUGUCAUGGGCUUUGAAGACGCUCAAACUUAGGACGCAAGGGAGAAACGUGCUAAGAGGAAGGCAUGCUUGGCAAAUCCACACCAUGAUCAACUCCCACCCGGAAACCUAUGUCCCCACUGUGGAAGACUGUGUGGAUCCAGAACUGGCCUCCAAAGUCACUUACGGACUCAGGACUGUGUUCAUGGAAGGAAAUCUUACUCGGCUACAAGUGAUUGCCAAAGAAGAAGAAGAAAGAAGAAGAACUGCAGUUAGAAACAGAGUAUUUUCUCCACAGCUAUGAAGUAAUACCUUCUCCCCAGAGCGGUGUGCAGCUCCCCCUUUCAGGGGGCAUUUGUAAGGGGUUGUAGAGCACACAUUGGGCAGGGUGCUGGCCUUUAGCCUUCCUGGUUAACUAUACUUUUUCCCAUUUAAAUCACACUUUUAAAGUUUUUGCAUUUGAUUUUAUAUUCUGCCUUAACAGUUUAUCAUCUGCUUACAAUGACUGUUGAAAGCUGCCUUGAGCCUCGCAAAGGUGGCAGAGAAACAUUUUCAACAGCAUCCUCUCAGCUUAGCACCCAAAUGCCAAACUUUCUCCCUUGCCAUGCCCACGCGGAUGUUUCCGUUUGAUGUUGCAGGCCUGUUCUUUGGUUUUAUGGGCAAAACACAGGCUUCAAUUUUUGGCAAGAGCCAAUGUUUUUGUGCAGCUCUGCUCUUGAUAAGGCAGGAAUUUGCUACUAACCCAGAACCACAAAGUGGAAAGAAAGAAGAGAAGGUUAUCUCUGCUAGAGUACUCGGCAUAAGGAGACCAGGGAUGGGCAAUCUGUGGCCCUGAAGAUGUUGCUGCGAAUGUGUGGUUGAUCACCGGCUCCCUUUCCGGCCCCACCCCCUUGCCCAAGCCUCCAUUGUUGAAUGUUCUGCAGACGGAGGCUGUUUGCUUCCCCAGCGACCUGUGACUGGCUGAUUAGAUUAUCUGUCUGGGAACUGUAGAAAUGGCUCCCUUUCCUUUCCUAAAGAAGCUGCAGAACUGUGAGUUGAACCCCAUAAAAACAGGAUUUUUUUCCCCAUUGCAAAGUAAGCUCAACAACUUUGAGCUGAUUUCAAAAAAAUGGGGCUUUCCCCCUUUCCUCCUCUAAAAACUAGGUGCGUCUUAUGGAGCGAAAAAUAUGGUAAAUCAUAUGGGACACAUGGCCAUCCAACCUCUGCUUUAAAACUUCUAAGGAAAGGGAGUCCAACACCUCCUGAGGGAGUCCAUUCUACUUCCAAGCAGCUCUUACUGUCAGAAAGUUAUUCGUGAUGUUGUCGGAAUCUCCGGCCUUGGAACUUGAAGCCAUUGGUUCGAGUUCUAACCUUCAGAGCAGGAGAAAACAAGAUAAUGUUGCAAAACAUCUGGAGUGCCCUCAGUUCCCCAUUCUUAGCUUAAACCUAUGAGGUCUUAUCAGAGAAAUAACUUCAUUUUCUAGCUUAAUUCUCAAAUAAUAUGCAGUUGUACCUUGGAAGUUGAACGGAAUCCAUUCCGAAAGUCCAUUUGACUUCCAAAGCGCAUCUUCAGUAUAUUUCAAUUUGAUUAGGUGCAAAAUGGAAGGAGGGGGGAUUGUGUGAGCUGUGAGGGGAUGGGGAGUUGGGGGGAGCUGUGUGUGGUCUGGCAGCCAAUCGGAAGCCGUGGAAGCAACGCCGGACACUCGGCUUCCAAAAAUCAUUCAAAAACUGGUACAAUCACUUCCAGGUUUCGAUCAUUCGGGAGCUGAAAUGUUCGAGUUCAAAGGUAUUCAGUUUCCGAGGUUCCACUGUAUUUGGAACCUAGCUCGUGUGGUAUAAAUGCUUUAGUUUUUUCGAUUAACUGCAAUUUAUUAAUUUUUUUAGGAAAUACAAAUUUGGAAAGGGUAAAGAAAUCAAGAAUGCAUAUGGGUGUGCAUGCGCAUGCAAAGGAUUUAAUCUGUGCCUUGGGAUAUCUUCAAGGUGAACAUUUUUGACCAUGAGAGUUCACAAAGUUACAAGAAUCAUAACCUCCACGUUGUUUUCAUCCAAACCCCACAAUUGCAAAAUGUCAUCAGUGAUACCGCAAAGUCCGUUUGAAAUGAUGCCCUUUAGCACAGAUAAAGCCAGGUUGCCAGAUGCUGUCUUUUUCGCAAUUCCCUUGAGCCAGAGAUGCUGAACGUGAGGGAUGCUUUUCUUGUCAAGCUGCUGAGCACAGCCUGAAGCAGCUCUGCAUUAUUCCAGAAAACAAAGUGGCCUCAAGCCAGCCCAAGGGAAGAUGAUCAGGUCCAAUGCGCAGAGCCCUGCUGUAGAGCCCAUUAAUUUCGUAUGGGUGCGCGCACACUUUGCACACUCACCCACAUGGAAGACAGGAAGGCUUAGUAAACUACUCCUUCACUCGUCAUCAGAAAUUGCUAAAGUGCCAUAGGAGAGAGAGAACAAAUUAUGUUAAUUGCAUUUAUAGAAAGGAAAAUAAAUGUUUCAGCCAAACUGAACAAUGCCCUUGUGCGGCUACAGGAGUAAAACUCGACCUGCAAAUAUAAUUAGCAAACAUAUUAGCGUAUCCCAAUGCACUGAGCAUCACCAGCUAUGUGGACCACCACCCCUCAUGCACAUCCCAUCACAGAAGGCUCUUCUCCACCGACUGUUUACUAUAUUUGACAGUCACCUGUCCUACUGCACUGAUUCCUUCCAGCUAAUGGUUAGCUUUGGAAACAUAAUGAUCCUAAACCCUCACUUCAGCUGCAGUAUGUGAAAAUAGCACACUGUACAUGAUAUCGUUCCUUAACAUGCAUCUGCAUGCACACACAUUCUAACUACAGAUGAUAAUAAUAAUGCAUGGGAUGCGGGUGGCGCUGUGGUCUAAACCACUGAGCCUCUUGGGCUUGCCGAUCAGAAGGUUGGCGGUUUGAAUCCAUGCGACGGGGUGAGCUCCCAUUGCUCUGUCCCAGCUCCUGCCAACCAAGCAGUUUGAAAGCAUGCCAACGCAAGUAGAUAAAUAGGUACCACUGCGGCGGGAAGGUAAACGCCAUUUCCUUGCACUCUGGUUUCCGUCACGGUUUCCCAUUGCACCAGAAGCAGUUUAGUCAUGCUGGCCACAUGACCCGGAAAGCUCUCUGUGGACAAAUGCCGGCUCCCUUGGCCUGAAAGCAAGAUGAGCACCGCAACCCCAUAGUCACAUUUGAACGGACUUAACCAUCCAGGGGUGCUUUACAUUUUUACAUAAUAACAACAAUAAUAACAAUAAUAAUUUAAUUAUUUAUACCCUGCCCAUCUGGCUGGGUUUCUUGUCUAAUGCUACCAUCAGUGAAGAUGACAGCAUGGGUCUUCUGCUCCUUGCCGCUCCUCACCUCAAAUCCUCUCAACAUUGUUGUUGUUUAGUCAUUUAGUCAUGUCCGACUCUUUGUGACCUCAUGGACCAGAGCACGCCAGACACUCCUGUCUUCCACUGCCUCCCACAGUUUAGUCAAACUCAUGUUCGUAGCUUCAAGAACACUAACCAACCAUCUCGUCCUCUGUCGUCCCCUUCUCCUUGCGCCCACCAUCUUUUCCAACAUCAAGGUCUUUUCCAGGGAGUCUUCUCUUCUCAUGAGGUGGCCAAAGUAUUGGAGUCUCAGCUUCAGGAUCUGUCCUUCCAGUGAGCACUCAGGGCUGAUUUCCUUAAGAAUGGAUAGGUUUGAUCUUCUUGCAGUCCAUGGGACUCUCAAGAGUCUCCUCCAGCACCAUAACUCAAAAGCAUCAAUUCUUCGGCGAUCAGCCUUCUUUAUGGUCCAGCUCUCACUUCCAUACAUCACUACUGGGAAAACCAUAGCUUUAACUAUAUGGACCUCUCAACUUUAGGCUAUAGUUUAAAAUGUCAGAGGAGGAGAGGGAGAGGGAGAGGGAGAGGGAGAGGGAGGGAGGGAGGGAAGGCAAGUAGAAAGCUUAGCCAACAGAGUGAACUGCAUUCAAUGGAUCGUAGCCACACGUGGCCUCUACUCGUAUAAAUGUUCCCACCCACACUGUGUCAAACUAGUUCAGCCCCUGCUCUGCUCAAUGAGACUCUUAAUCUCAGGGUUGCAGCUUCAAGCCCCAUGAUGAGCAAAAAAUUCCUGUGUCGUAGGGGGUUGCACUAGAUGGCCCUUGUGGUCCCUUCCAACCCUACAGUUCUAUGGUUCUGUGGGGGAGGGGGAGGAAUAGCACCCAGCCACCUCCAAAGCUCCCACUCCUAACAUGCACGGCAGAGCAAAAUGCAUUUGUUCCUAUUCUAGAGGGUUUCCUCGCCCAGAACAUUGGACUAGGGCAGCAGUUCUCAACCUGUGGGUCCCCAGAUGUUGUUGGACUACAACUCCUAUCAUCCCUGAGCUCUGGCCUUGCUAGCUAGGGGUGGUGGGAGUUGUAGUUCAACAACAUCUGGGGACCCACAGGUUGAGAAAGGCUGGACUAGGGGGUUCGACUUGAUGACUCUCUGCGUUGCUUCCAACUCUACAGUUCUAUAGCUGGGAGAUACAUGCUGAAACAUCCACCUGAAAUGUGUUGAUUUGUAGAGACAGGGAUGGAGCGGGGCAUGUGUGUGUUGGCUGUUCGAAACAAAGGUAAGUUUUGCAUUAGGUUUUCUGUUCUAAAAUAUAAAAGCAGGUUGUUGGCAUCCAUCUGUCUUGAGAGACAGUGGAGUGUGCCUCCAGGGAUGAAGCCAAACCGCUGUGUCAGCAGCACUGAAGUGACGUCCCCAGGGCGCAAGCCUGGGCAAUGUGUCUGGAGGUCCUGGGGCUGCCCAGAUGACAACAACAACAACAAUAAUAAUAAAUUUUAUUUAUACCCCACCCUCCCCAGCCAAGGCCAGGCUCAGGGCAGCUAACAACCAAUAAUAAAAACAAGUUGAAUGAAUACAACUUAAAAACAAGAUUAAAAUACAACAUUAAAAUGCAGCCUCAUCACAGGAGGAGAAAGGAAAAAAGAAAGAGGGGGAGGGAAUCAGAUUGACUCCAAGCCAAAGGCCAGGUGGAACAACUCUGUCUUACAGGCCCUGCAGAAAGAAAUCAAAUCCCGCAGGGACCUGGUCUCAUGAGGCAGAGCGUUCCACCAGGCCAGAGCCAGAGUUGAAAAGGCCCUGGCUCUGGUUGAGGCUAAUCUAACUUCCUUAGGGCCCAGGACCUCUAGGGUGUUGCUAUUUAUGGACCUUAAGGUCCUCCGUGGGGUAUACCGGGAGAGGCGGUCCUGUAGGUACGAGGGUCCUAGGCCUAGACUCACAGAUAAGGUCCAAAGGAAAACAGAGCAAUACAUUUAGCACCAGCUUGGCUGUAGGAGCUGACAGCCAAAGGCAAACAAGAUGCCAUCCAACCAUCUUAGGAGCUCCACUCUGGAUUAUUCCUUAGCCUUUUCAUCUUCUUCUCCCAAAGAUGUCCUACAAGGCAGCAGAGGCUUAGGACCAGAGUUUUCCUUCUCCUGUAUGGGCUACCUUCCCAGGUUGAUGAGUCCCAUCCGCCCCUCACUUCCUUCUCCAUCAUGAGCAGAAAUCGCCUUCUUGACUGUUGGGCCCACUAUUGGUCUUGUCUGCUCAAUCGGCCAAAACUGGCAGGGAAAGACCCUAAAUCACCAAGGUUUUGAGACCCAUCAAUGACCCUCAUUUGAUUCAGCCAGCCAGUUGAAACCAUGUGUGGCUGCUGCUGUAGCACCUCUGAUGGGGGACACAGUUAAAACAAUGGAUACUGUGAAGAAAAUAGCGGAGGAAAUGAGGUAUGUAUUAGAAAAAUAGCAAGUUUCAAAGCUUCAUGAUAUCAGCCGCUAAUGGAAAACCCAAAAUAUUGUUAAAUGGGUCUUUAUUUAAUAGAUAGCAAUUGCAAGCUGCAAUUUGCAAGCUGUAGUUGCAGAUGGCAAUGUUUUCCCAUUCUUUUUCAACAGUCGACUACGGUAGUUACUGUGGGGAUCAGCUGACAAUGAAAUGCCAACUGCAAAAGAUAUGCUCGUGAGUAUACUGAACUGUUAGAUUGUUGCAAGGAUGUUCCAAGCGUGAAAGCUACCUACUUUGAAUACACACAAUGCAAAUAUUUAGAGAGUGCAAGAGUGGAAAGAGGCUCGCAGAUAUCAUUCCAUUCAUUUGCCAUUUUAAACACAAUUGAAUAGCAAGCACAGCAGACAGCUUUAAAGUGCAGAAGCUUUUUAAAUACUACUUUAAGAGCAAUUCAUUUUCCAAUUAAGAAAACUUAGAAGCUCGGAGAUAUAUUCUCUAAACGGAAAAGAAACAUUCUGUCAUGAAAAAGAACAGAAUUGUGAAUUGGAACAAGUGGAAGAAUACGUGAAACUGGCAGAAAAUACUGGAGGAUUAGUAAUCAUAGUUUUGUCUCAAUCAUGGAUACGAGCGAAAACUGUAUUGAGAUGAUUGUUAGAUGAUGCAUCUCUACAGGUUAAAUGAAAUUGACCACCAUUUACAACCCAAAGUGGUAGCAUGUCAAAAGAGUUUGGUUUGGUUUUGAACCUAUUUGGAGAGUUUGUACAGGAG